AAUCAUCAUCUCUUUCUUUUUCUUUCUUCAGAAAGCCCUCAUCUUCUCUUCAUUUUUAUGUUUUCUUUACCUUUAUCUUCUAAGCUAAUCUAACCCAGAAGAAUGAUAAAGAAAAAAAAUGGUUCCAUAUUUUGCUUGGAGGUUUGUUGGCUUGAAAAAAAUAAGAAACGGUUUUUUUUCUCUUUCAUUUUUUCAUCAUCGUCCCUCUUUUCCUUAUCUUUCUCUUCAAUUAUCCCCUCAUCUCUCUCAUCUUCUUCGUCAUUUUUUUUUUCUUUCCGAUUUUGAUUGAGCACAACAACAACAACGAGGAUGGUUGGGAUUUUUUUUGGGUUUCUAAUCUCUUCUUCUUUCUCUCUCUAGCCUUUUGGAUCUUUUUUUGUGUGGGGGUUUAGCAGUCAAAUUUUUAAAUAUUAAUUUGUAUAUAUCUUUGAUGUUGCAGGUGCAAAAAAAAUGGAAAUGUCUUUUAGCAUCCAGCAUCCCGAUGAGAGUGAGUUUGUGUAACUUUUUUCCCUUUUUUAUAAAGUGCGUCUCUUUUGUUUUUCUAUUUCCUUCCUAAGUUAUUGCCUGAUUUUUUAGCAACUGGUAGUGGAAUCCUCUGGAAUGUAUAUGUUAAAGAGCUUUCCGGUUAGAGUUUGGGAUCCAAAGAAGCCCUUACUGUCAAGAUUUUGCAUAAAUCCUAUGGUUAGAAUUUUGGAACCCCAUCUCGUGUCUUGAUGUUUUAUAUGGGUUAUUUGGAGAAGCAAAAGUCAGAGUUUUUUACUUUUCUCUCUUUCUCUUUAGAAAGGAAACCCCUUUUCCCCUUUUCUUGCCUAAGGACUACUUGUAGUUUUUUUUUUUUUUUGUGAAAAAGAGAUGGGAAAAAAUUGUCACUUUCUAUUUUCUUGUAUUUUUUUGUUAACUAAUAUGCUCUAAGAGAUCUAGGAUCUUUCAGAAAAAUUUGAAGUGCCGUUUUAUGUAUUUGUAUGAAUUGAUUUAUUGUGUUUUCAUUUGUUUAUUUGUUAUUGUUAGGGUAUAAAUGAAGAAUUAAG
Molecule: long non-coding RNA, 1028 nt
Filed under: Coffea arabica (coffee)
Lineage: Eukaryota; Viridiplantae; Streptophyta; Magnoliopsida; Gentianales; Rubiaceae
Description: long non-coding RNA (CARA_LNC001338)
Source: RNAcentral